GGGGCUGUAGUUCAGUGGUAGAGCAUCUGUGUGGCAAGCAGAAGUCCCAAGUUCAACACUCAGCAUCUCAA
Molecule: transfer RNA, 71 nt
Filed under: Sphaerodactylus townsendi
Lineage: Eukaryota; Metazoa; Chordata; Lepidosauria; Squamata; Sphaerodactylidae
Description: tRNA-Ala
Rfam family: tRNA
About the family: Transfer RNA (tRNA) molecules are approximately 80 nucleotides in length. Their secondary structure includes four short double-helical elements and three loops (D, anti-codon, and T loops).
Source: RNAcentral